Molecule: long non-coding RNA, 1762 nt
Filed under: Macaca fascicularis (crab-eating macaque)
Lineage: Eukaryota; Metazoa; Chordata; Mammalia; Primates; Cercopithecidae
Description: lncRNA (ENSMFAG00000061905.1)
Source: RNAcentral
GGAAUAUUUAUGAGGUUAAAGUCCGUAGGCUUGAGCAAAAGACCUAACCUUUCCAUGGGAGGUGGGGAUGGGGUGCGUUUUGAUUUCUUUGAAGAUAAAUGAUCAUAAUGAAAUUUUCAGGGGUUUAGGAAAAAGUGUUCAGUGAGACACAUCAAGCAUUCCUCCUUAAAACCUCUGGAGGACAAAGCUGUAAGGGCACAGGGAUUUACUGUGACCAUUUAUCUCACAUAAGGCCCCCAUAGUCCUACUCCCCACCUCUGGGGCACUUUGUACUCCUCCUGUACUCUCUGUGGCUUCCUUGUCUUAUUAGUCCCCAUCACACUCUGAAAAGGUAGGGAAGAUCCUAGUUAAGGGCAAUGAUGUAAGAGGUCAAGGAAGGGAAAGGAAUUUGAGUAAGGAAAAAGGAGAAAGACCGAGAGAAUGAAUACAUGUUAAGACAGCCCCCAGAGGAGUCACUGGACAUUUAGUAUUUUAAUGGGUCACCUUCUCUUUAUGUUAAGGGGUGACUGAGGCCCAGGCUCGGAUUCUACAAGGAUUAUCCUGUGCUGUUCUAGACAAAAAACCAGAACAUAUCUGGGGUAAGAUGGAAUUGGGGGAAGGGCCUCUGCAGGUGGCAUGAAGAUGAAGAUGAUAUUUAUUUGUUACCUUUCUUGGCUCUGAACAGUGUGCUAUCCCAACGUCUCCGUGAAUCCUAAAUGAAGUUUCAUGCUUGAAAGUGGGCUGUCUGAACACGAAUGAGGAGCACCGUUUACACAGCCCCAUCCCUGCUGCUUUCUCUAAUAGUUCUGAAAUGGCAGGAAGGAGGUAGGUAGGUAGAUAGAGAGCUGUCAUAUAUGUAUGUGUACACACACACACACACACACACACAAUUCCUAUGUAUGGAAUUAUAUUUUUAUCUACUCAAAGAAGAAUAAUUGUGUGGAACUCAGAGCAGUUGGGACAUGUCAUAUGUGAUCUGUUUUUCUGUUUAUUUUUUCUGUUGAGUUUUUUAUAUGAAAUCUGAAUGGCCCCUUCUUUGUGUGGGGGGUUGGAGAUGGGGAGGGCAUUGACAGAAGGGUUAGAGAUCAAGCUUUAGAGGGACUUGGAACAGAUGGGCACAUCACCUCUCUGGGGCCCCUGAAUUUGAGAGCUCUGCCGCCAGCCUUUUCCCACCAAGGGAGCUCAUGGCUGUCUUCUACUCUGUUCUCCAGUUUAUCCCCAGGGGGCAAGCAGCCCCACCUUGAGGGCUCCCUACCUAGGCUCAUGUGAAAAGCAAAGGACUAUGUGAUGAGGACGAAUGGAUACAGUGUUUGACCUGUUAGGGUGAAGCAUCUGAAUUGAGAAGUUCCUGACUUUCCUCAUUGCCAACUAGUCAUGCUCCUCUGCUUCCCUCUUCCUGAAUAAACCAAAGAAAAUAAAAGGGACUGCAAAUGCCCAUGACUUAGAUGUGUUAGAGUCCAGCUUCUGUUUCCCCCAUUUGGUCCUGAUUUUCAAAGUGAAGGGGAGACGGGACUGAGUGGUGUGGAGGUGAGCAACCCGUGUGCUUAGCCCAGCAGCUCUCUGGUUUGUCAUUGUGGUAUCCCUCUCUGGACCACAGUUUCCUCAUCUGGAAAAUGAAGAUCUAAGGCUAGGUGAUUUUGAAGUCCCUUUCAGCUCUAAAAUAUUAUUUUACAGUUGUUGGAUUUAUGUAGGAGAACGGCAUUGCACUCUAUCCCUUGCUUUAGCCUUUUGAAUGAAAGUGAGAUGUCUCAUCAGCUCAGAUAGAGCCAGCUCAAGCCCAGUG